AAGCUUUCGUGCCCAGAUCUGGGUGGAGAAAGAAGUGAGAGAGGGGGUGAGUGGGGCACAGCAGGGGCCCUGGCAGCUCGCUCGCCACCUCCUGCACUUGGAGGUCCCACUGGCCUGCCUGUUCUGUCCCAGUUUCAGUCCAUUCUAGACGGGGCAGGUGGUCCUGAAGGAGGCCAAGUCCCCUCCCUGCCCUGACGAGGGCUCGCUGGAAAGAGCUGAGUCAGCUCCCGCCCCCUCCUCCAUGCUGCGGCAAAGUCAAACGCAAGCGCCUCCCACCCCAGAGACCUUUGGUCGCAGCCUGGAGAUCAGCUCAGACAAGAAAACAACCAGGGAAGGCACACAGGUAAGUGAAGGCCUCCGGGUACCCAAGUGCUGACAGGCCUUAGAAGACCAAGGACCGACAGGUCCUGCUCCCCCAGAGCUCAGGGGUGCAGACCCCAGGCCCGCCUCCCUCAGACCUAAGUAAGAGUCCAGACUCUAGCUGCCUCCUCCCUCAGACCCGAAGUCUGGGCCCCCAGCCCCUCCUCCCUCAGACCCUGGAGUCCAGGCCUCAGACCCUCCUCCCUUACAUCCAGGAGUACAGGCCCCACCCGGACUGUCCCCAUCACAGCUGAGGACUCAGCCCAAUUAUCUCCAUUACAGGAUAUCUCUAUCUUCAUCAGAGCCUAGGAAUGUCCCAUCAUGAGUUCAGGGCCAUUCUAUGACACCAGAACUGUGCCAUGAUGAGACGGUCCACAUCAGUCCCAAGUGGACCUGUCAAAGCCCAGUACUGCCCCACCACAGUCCAGGAGUGUCACCACUAAAGCCCAGAUUGCCCACAUACCCCAGGUAUCCCAGGACUAUCCCUAUCAGUCACUAAGAGCCGAAAAAAGUGAAAUUCUGCCCUGACAUUCAUCAGCUAGGAUAAGAGACUCAAAUAAAGUCAGGUGUAAAGUUAACAGACAGUUCUCCCAAGGUUACACCGCAGCUGUGAAGGCUUGUAAUGACCCCUUUCUUUGGCUGUUUCCUUCCUCACUGAGAAACCUUGUUCUCUGAAAUCAUAGACUCUGGGAAACGCUGCUGCUGUUUGACAUCGCACAGUCAGAAGGGAUCGUCUCAGCCAGCCUGCAGCAUCUGUCACUUUGACCAUGAGACGCUGCCUCGAUUUCCAAUCCAGGUGCAAAGCUUCAGAUAGGAGUUUGGGAAGCACAGCAAUCCCCAUCUCUUAUUUUUUUCAACUUUCAUUCCAAGAAAAUAGGACCUUGAGUCCAAUUCCCAGAGCUGAGACUUGAGGUCCAACUCUGCCUUCACCUGCACCCGGCCCUGGAGGUCUGGGCCCCUUUAUUCCAGCUCCCGCACAGGCUGAUGCCCCACCGCACCCCAGGGCUCCGCUCCCCAAAUCACAACCUCCCCACCCCCACGCCUCCCUCAUUACAGGGUCCUCCACCAUGUUUCCCUUUUUUUUUUUUUUUUUACCUCCCCGCCAAUUACUUGCCCCACCUCAUCCGCGUCUACCUGCUCCCCCUCACCCCAUUAAAGCCUCGUGCUCCUUUCCAAAGGGCGCCAUCCUCCUCCGCGCCCUGCAGCGGAACCCCAGGGCGGGAGGAGCGGCGCCGAGUCGGACCGGCUGCAGGCCAGUGGUCUUCCCGGAAGUGCGCCUCCCCCGGUUAUUUCCCAGACCCCGGCGCGGGGCUGCGAACCCACCUGCCCCAGAGCGGCUGCGGCCAUGAUCCGUGCGGCGCGUAACUGUGCCCGCCCGGGGCGCGGCUCCGAAGAGAGACGUUCCGGCCACGCCCCGCUCACGCCUCCUUCUGGGGGAAGGCGGCCGACCAGCGCCCCAGGCCGUCCCAGCUCCAGGGCGUCGGCAGGGAGCCGGACACUGCUGCGGGGCGCAGGCGCUGGUGGGAGGGCAGGACUUGAAAUACGGUCCCUGCCAGGCGAAGUGGCUCAGGUCUGUAAUCUUAGCACUUUGGGAGGCCGAAGCGGGCGGAUUACCUGAGGUCAGGAGUUAGAGACCAGCCUGGUCCAACAUGAUGAAACCCCGUCUCUACUAAAAAUACAAAAAAUUAGCCGGGCGUGGUGGCGGGCGCCUGUAAUCUUAGCUACUCGGAAAGCUGAGGCAGGAGAAUUGCUUGAAUCGGGGAGGCAGAGGUUGCAGUGAGCCGAGAUGAUGCCACUGCACUCCAGCCUGGGCGACAGAGUGAGACUCCGUCUCAAAAAAAAAAAAAAAAAAAAGUCCUGGCUUGGUGGCUCACACCUGUAAUCCCAGCACUUUGGGGGCCAAGGCGGGUGGAUCACCUGAGGCCAGGAGUUCAAGACCAGCCUGGCCGACAUGGGGAAACCCCGUCUCUACUAAAAAUACAAAAAUUAAGGCCAGGCACGGUGGCUUACGCCUGUAAUCCCAGCACUUUGGGAGGCCGAGGUGGGCGGAUCACAAGGUCAGGAGUUCAAGACCCGCCUGACCAACAUGGUGAAACCCCGUCUCUACUAAAGAUACAAAAAUUAGCCGGGUGUGGUGGUGUGCGCCUGUAAUCCCAGCUACUAGGGAGGCUGAGGCAGGAGAAUCAUUUGAACCCUGGAGGCGGACGUUGCGGUGAGCCGAGAUCGCGCCACUGCAUUUCCAGCCUGGGUGACAGGGUGAGACUCCGUCUCAAAAUAAAUAAAUAAAUAAAAAUAAAUACAUAAAAAUACAAAAAUUAGUCGAGCGUGGUGCCGGGGGCCUGUAAUCCCAGCUAUUCGGGAGGCUGAGGCAGGAGAAUCGCUUGAACCCGGGAGGCGGAGGUUGCAGUGAGCCGACAUUGCACCACAGCACUCCAGCCUGGGCGACAGAGUGAGACUCCGUCUCAAAUUAAAAAAAAAAAAAAAAAAUCGUAUCCCUCGGCCAUCGUGUCUCGGCAAUCCUACCCUGGGACACUCUGUCUCCAAAUUCUACCCCCACAGUGCCCCCAAGUCCUGUCCCCGGGUCACUAUCCUGCCACCCCUAACAGCCACAGGCCCAAACAGCCAAACCGCGGGACCCUUCCCUCACAGGGCGUCGCCCUGUUUUUCUGCGCUCCGCCCCAGUCCUCCUGCCCCACCCGCCAGCCCCGGGCUGUAGGGUCGGGGCCCACUGACAGCUCCCGCCCCCGCCGCGGCCAAUCAGCGGUUGGUGCACACGCCCCCCCGGCCACAGCCAAUCCGCAGCAGCCCUGCAGCUCCACCCCUCACCUGGGGGACGCCAGCGCACCCGGGCCCUGCCCCCCCCCUGGGUCCAGC
RNAcentral lists this long non-coding RNA (3234 nucleotides) under Homo sapiens (human). RNAcentral describes it as "HSALNT0261204". The record is from RNAcentral. Lineage: Eukaryota; Metazoa; Chordata; Mammalia; Primates; Hominidae.